RNAcentral lists this ribosomal RNA (158 nucleotides) under uncultured bacterium. RNAcentral's name for it is "partial 16S ribosomal RNA". It matches the Rfam family "Bacterial small subunit ribosomal RNA", at positions 374 to 524 of the family's 1533-position model. The record is from RNAcentral.
GGCGCAAGCCUGAUGCAGCCAUGCCGCGUGUAUGAAGAAGGCCUUCGGGUUGUAAAGUACUUUCAGCGGGGAGGAAGGCGAUAAGGUUAAUAACCUUGUCGAUUGACGUUACCCGCAGAAGAAGCACCGGCUUGUUCCGUGCCAGCAGCCGCGGUAAU